UAAUACGGGGGGGGCAAGCGUUGUUCGGAAUUACUGGGCGUAAAGGGUUCGUAGGUGGCUUUCUAAGUCAGACGUGAAAUCCCUCAGCUUAACUGGGGAACUGCGUCUGAGACUGGCGAGCUUGAGUGCAGGAGAGGAACGCGGAAUUCCAGGUGUAGCGGUGAAAUGCGUAGAUAUCUGGAGGAACACCGGUGGCGAAGGCGGCGUUCUGGACUGUUACUGACACUGAGGAACGAAAGCCAGGGGAGCAAACGGG
RNAcentral lists this ribosomal RNA (256 nucleotides) under uncultured bacterium. RNAcentral describes it as "partial 16S ribosomal RNA". It matches the Rfam family "Bacterial small subunit ribosomal RNA", at positions 521 to 776 of the family's 1533-position model. The record is from RNAcentral.